This 57-nucleotide transfer RNA is filed under the name Oscillospiraceae bacterium. RNAcentral describes it as "tRNA-Asn". It matches the Rfam family "tRNA", at positions 8 to 62 of the family's 71-position model. From Rfam's summary of the family: Transfer RNA (tRNA) molecules are approximately 80 nucleotides in length. Their secondary structure includes four short double-helical elements and three loops (D, anti-codon, and T loops). Further hydrogen bonds mediate the characteristic L-shaped molecular structure. tRNAs have two regions of fundamental functional importance: the anti-codon, which is responsible for specific mRNA codon recognition, and the 3' end, to which the tRNAs corresponding amino acid is attached (by aminoacyl-tRNA synthetases). tRNAs cope with the degeneracy of the genetic code in two manners: having more than one tRNA (with a specific anti-codon) for a particular amino acid; and 'wobble' base-pairing, i.e. permitting non-standard base-pairing at the 3rd anti-codon position. Lineage: Bacteria; Bacillati; Bacillota; Clostridia; Eubacteriales; Oscillospiraceae. The record is from RNAcentral.
UAGCUCAGUCGGUAGAGCACGCGGCUGUUAACCGCGGUGUCGUUGGUUCGAGUCCAA